RNAcentral lists this transfer RNA (77 nucleotides) under Candidatus Poribacteria bacterium. RNAcentral's name for it is "tRNA-Met". It matches the Rfam family "tRNA". Rfam says of the family: Transfer RNA (tRNA) molecules are approximately 80 nucleotides in length. Their secondary structure includes four short double-helical elements and three loops (D, anti-codon, and T loops). Further hydrogen bonds mediate the characteristic L-shaped molecular structure. tRNAs have two regions of fundamental functional importance: the anti-codon, which is responsible for specific mRNA codon recognition, and the 3' end, to which the tRNAs corresponding amino acid is attached (by aminoacyl-tRNA synthetases). tRNAs cope with the degeneracy of the genetic code in two manners: having more than one tRNA (with a specific anti-codon) for a particular amino acid; and 'wobble' base-pairing, i.e. permitting non-standard base-pairing at the 3rd anti-codon position. Lineage: Bacteria; Candidatus Poribacteria. The record is from RNAcentral.
GGCUUCGUAGCUCAGUCGGUCAGAGCGAGCGACUCAUAAUCGCUAGGUCCUCGGUUCAAAUCCGAGCGAAGCCACCA